GGUUAAGCGACUAAGCGUACACGGUGGAUGCCCUGGCAGUCAGAGGCGAUGAAGGACGUGCUAAUCUGCGAUAAGCGUCGGUAAGGUGAUAUGAACCGUUAUAACCGGCGAUUUCCGAAUGGGGAAACCCAGUGUGUUUCGACACACUAUCAUUAACUGAAUCCAUAGGUUAAUGAGGCGAACCGGGGGAACUGAAACAUCUAAGUACCCCGAGGAAAAGAAAUCAACCGAGAUUCCCCCAGUAGCGGCGAGCGAACGGGGAGCAGCCCAGAGCCUGAAUCAGUGUGUGUGUUAGUGGAAGCGUCUGGAAAGGCGCGCGAUACAGGGUGACAGCCCCGUACACAAAAAUGCACAUGCUGUGAGCUCGAUGAGUAGGGCGGGACACGUGGUAUCCUGUCUGAAUAUGGGGGGACCAUCCUCCAAGGCUAAAUACUCCUGACUGACCGAUAGUGAACCAGUACCGUGAGGGAAAGGCGAAAAGAACCCCGGCGAGGGGAGUGAAAAAGAACCUGAAACCGUGUACGUACAAGCAGUGGGAGCACGCUUAGGCGUGUGACUGCGUACCUUUUGUAUAAUGGGUCAGCGACUUAUAUUCUGUAGCAAGGUUAACCGAAUAGGGGAGCCGAAGGGAAACCGAGUCUUAACUGGGCGUUAAGUUGCAGGGUAUAGACCCGAAACCCGGUGAUCUAGCCAUGGGCAGGUUGAAGGUUGGGUAACACUAACUGGAGGACCGAACCGACUAAUGUUGAAAAAUUAGCGGAUGACUUGUGGCUGGGGGUGAAAGGCCAAUCAAACCGGGAGAUAGCUGGUUCUCCCCGAAAGCUAUUUAGGUAGCGCCUCGUGAAUUCAUCUCCGGGGGUAGAGCACUGUUUCGGCAAGGGGGUCAUCCCGACUUACCAACCCGAUGCAAACUGCGAAUACCGGAGAAUGUUAUCACGGGAGACACACGGCGGGUGCUAACGUCCGUCGUGAAGAGGGAAACAACCCAGACCGCCAGCUAAGGUCCCAAAGUCAUGGUUAAGUGGGAAACGAUGUGGGAAGGCCCAGACAGCCAGGAUGUUGGCUUAGAAGCAGCCAUCAUUUAAAGAAAGCGUAAUAGCUCACUGGUCGAGUCGGCCUGCGCGGAAGAUGUAACGGGGCUAAACCAUGCACCGAAGCUGCGGCAGCGACGCUGAUGCGUUGUUGGGUAGGGGAGCGUUCUGUAAGCCUGCGAAGGUGUGCUGUGAGGCAUGCUGGAGGUAUCAGAAGUGCGAAUGCUGACAUAAGUAACGAUAAAGCGGGUGAAAAGCCCGCUCGCCGGAAGACCAAGGGUUCCUGUCCAACGUUAAUCGGGGCAGGGUGAGUCGACCCCUAAGGCGAGGCCGAAAGGCGUAGUCGAUGGGAAACAGGUUAAUAUUCCUGUACUUGGUGUUACUGCGAAGGGGGGACGGAGAAGGCUAUGUUGGCCGGGCGACGGUUGUCCCGGUUUAAGCGUGUAGGCUGGUUUUCCAGGCAAAUCCGGAAAAUCAAGGCUGAGGCGUGAUGACGAGGCACUACGGUGCUGAAGCAACAAAUGCCCUGCUUCCAGGAAAAGCCUCUAAGCAUCAGGUAACAUCAAAUCGUACCCCAAACCGACACAGGUGGUCAGGUAGAGAAUACCAAGGCGCUUGAGAGAACUCGGGUGAAGGAACUAGGCAAAAUGGUCUGCCGUAACUUCGGGAGAAGGCACGCUGAUAUGUAGGUGAAGUCCCUCGCGGAUGGAGCUGAAAUCAGUCGAAGAUACCAGCUGGCUGCAACUGUUUAUUAAAAACACAGCACUGUGCAAACACGAAAGUGGACGUAUACGGUGUGACGCCUGCCCGGUGCCGGAAGGUUAAUUGAUGGGGUUAGCCGCAAGGCGAAGCUCUUGAUCGAAGCCCCGGUAAACGGCGGCCGUAACUAUAACGGUCCUAAGGUAGCGAAAUUCCUUGUCGGGUAAGUUCCGACCUGCACGAAUGGCGUAAUGAUGGCCAGGCUGUCUCCACCCGAGACUCAGUGAAAUUGAACUCGCUGUGAAGAUGCAGUGUACCCGCGGCAAGACGGAAAGACCCCGUGAACCUUUACUAUAGCUUGACACUGAACAUUGAGCCUUGAUGUGUAGGAUAGGUGGGAGGCUUAGAAGUGUGGACGCCAGUCUGCAUGGAGCCGACCUUGAAAUACCACCCUUUAAUGUUUGAUGUUCUAACGUGGACCCGUAAUCCGGGUUGCGGACAGUGUCUGGUGGGUAGUUUGACUGGGGCGGUCUCCUCCUAAAGAGUAACGGAGGAGCACGAAGGUUGGCUAAUCCUGGUCGGACAUCAGGAGGUUAGUGCAAUGGCAUAAGCCAGCUUGACUGCGAGCGUGACGGCGCGAGCAGGUGCGAAAGCAGGUCAUAGUGAUCCGGUGGUUCUGAAUGGAAGGGCCAUCGCUCAACGGAUAAAAGGUACUCCGGGGAUAACAGGCUGAUACCGCCCAAGAGUUCAUAUCGACGGCGGUGUUUGGCACCUCGAUGUCGGCUCAUCACAUCCUGGGGCUGAAGUAGGUCCCAAGGGUAUGGCUGUUCGCCAUUUAAAGUGGUACGCGAGCUGGGUUUAGAACGUCGUGAGACAGUUCGGUCCCUAUCUGCCGUGGGCGCUGGAGAACUGAGGGGGGCUGCUCCUAGUACGAGAGGACCGGAGUGGACGCAUCACUGGUGUUCGGGUUGUCAUGCCAAUGGCACUGCCCGGUAGCUAAAUGCGGAAGAGAUAAGUGCUGAAAGCAUCUAAGCACGAAACUUGCCCCGAGAUGAGUUCUCCCUGACUCCUUGAGAGUCCUGAAGGAACGUUGAAGACGACGACGUUGAUAGGCCGGGUGUGUAAGCGCAGCGAUGCGUUGAGCUAACCGGUACUAAUGAACCGUGAGGCUUAACCUU
Molecule: ribosomal RNA, 2908 nt
Filed under: Escherichia coli
Lineage: Bacteria; Pseudomonadati; Pseudomonadota; Gammaproteobacteria; Enterobacterales; Enterobacteriaceae
Description: 23S ribosomal RNA
Rfam family: Bacterial large subunit ribosomal RNA
Source: RNAcentral